Molecule: long non-coding RNA, 764 nt
Filed under: Mytilus galloprovincialis (Mediterranean mussel)
Lineage: Eukaryota; Metazoa; Mollusca; Bivalvia; Mytilida; Mytilidae
Source: RNAcentral
CAGUGUUUUCCUUUUUUCACUAAGGUAAGGUGGGUGUUUUAAAAAAAUAACUUGCAACCGGGUGGGUUUUUAAUGUCCAACCUUUUUUAAUUUACUGUGGGUGCACGUGGGGGUCACAGAAAUAAAGAUGAGUAUAAUAUUCACAUUUAAUGGAGUUGAACAAACAUAAAUAGAAGUAGUCAUAUUAAUUGUCAAAUAUUCUUUGAUUUUAUUUUUUAAAAAAUUAUAUCUUUUGUCUCUUCUUUCAUUUACAAAUUUAUGCAUCAGCAUGGAUUUAAGGCCUUUCGGUCCAGGUUUCCGUCCUGUUUCUUGCUUUUGUGCCGUAUUUUUGGCAAACAGAACAGUAGUAUCCUUCCUCUGUGACUAUAAGUCAUUUGAAGUGUUGCUCAUAUUUGUCUUCACUUGCGUGUCUUUUCUGUUGUUUGGUUGAUUUUUGUUCAAUUUCCACAACUUCAACAUAACUAUCAAUUUUAUUUAACUUAUUUGGUCUAGUAUUUUCUUUAUCAUCAUCGUCAUCUGCCUUUCUUUUCCCCCGAUUGAUUAAUGAAAACAUUGAAAUUUGGAGCUCGAAAUUUGACAAUUGGACGCCAUCUUUGUCAAUGAAAACAAGGCGGGAUUAGUAUUCAAAUUUUAACGGUACGGAACCGAAAAAAAUCCGGAUUUUGAAAAAAAAGCAGACCACCUCCUAAAAUCGAAAGGUGGUCGGCUUUCAAAAGAAGGUGGUCGGCACACCCGGCUUAAAUGCCGAAUGGAAAACACUGUAU